RNAcentral lists this ribosomal RNA (2903 nucleotides) under Escherichia coli. RNAcentral's name for it is "23S ribosomal RNA". It matches the Rfam family "Bacterial large subunit ribosomal RNA". Lineage: Bacteria; Pseudomonadati; Pseudomonadota; Gammaproteobacteria; Enterobacterales; Enterobacteriaceae. The record is from RNAcentral.
GGUUAAGCGACUAAGCGUACACGGUGGAUGCCCUGGCAGUCAGAGGCGAUGAAGGACGUGCUAAUCUGCGAUAAGCGUCGGUAAGGUGAUAUGAACCGUUAUAACCGGCGAUUUCCGAAUGGGGAAACCCAGUGUGUUUCGACACACUAUCAUUAACUGAAUCCAUAGGUUAAUGAGGCGAACCGGGGGAACUGAAACAUCUAAGUACCCCGAGGAAAAGAAAUCAACCGAGAUUCCCCCAGUAGCGGCGAGCGAACGGGGAGCAGCCCAGAGCCUGAAUCAGUGUGUGUGUUAGUGGAAGCGUCUGGAAAGGCGCGCGAUACAGGGUGACAGCCCCGUACACAAAAAUGCACAUGCUGUGAGCUCGAUGAGUAGGGCGGGACACGUGGUAUCCUGUCUGAAUAUGGGGGGACCAUCCUCCAAGGCUAAAUACUCCUGACUGACCGAUAGUGAACCAGUACCGUGAGGGAAAGGCGAAAAGAACCCCGGCGAGGGGAGUGAAAAAGAACCUGAAACCGUGUACGUACAAGCAGUGGGAGCCUCUUUAUGGGGUGACUGCGUACCUUUUGUAUAAUGGGUCAGCGACUUAUAUUCUGUAGCAAGGUUAACCGAAUAGGGGAGCCGAAGGGAAACCGAGUCUUAACUGGGCGUUAAGUUGCAGGGUAUAGACCCGAAACCCGGUGAUCUAGCCAUGGGCAGGUUGAAGGUUGGGUAACACUAACUGGAGGACCGAACCGACUAAUGUUGAAAAAUUAGCGGAUGACUUGUGGCUGGGGGUGAAAGGCCAAUCAAACCGGGAGAUAGCUGGUUCUCCCCGAAAGCUAUUUAGGUAGCGCCUCGUGAAUUCAUCUCCGGGGGUAGAGCACUGUUUCGGCAAGGGGGUCAUCCCGACUUACCAACCCGAUGCAAACUGCGAAUACCGGAGAAUGUUAUCACGGGAGACACACGGCGGGUGCUAACGUCCGUCGUGAAGAGGGAAACAACCCAGACCGCCAGCUAAGGUCCCAAAGUCAUGGUUAAGUGGGAAACGAUGUGGGAAGGCCCAGACAGCCAGGAUGUUGGCUUAGAAGCAGCCAUCAUUUAAAGAAAGCGUAAUAGCUCACUGGUCGAGUCGGCCUGCGCGGAAGAUGUAACGGGGCUAAACCAUGCACCGAAGCUGCGGCAGCGACGCUUAUGCGUUGUUGGGUAGGGGAGCGUUCUGUAAGCCUGUGAAGGUGUGCUGUGAGGCAUGCUGGAGGUAUCAGAAGUGCGAAUGCUGACAUAAGUAACGAUAAAGCGGGUGAAAAGCCCGCUCGCCGGAAGACCAAGGGUUCCUGUCCAACGUUAAUCGGGGCAGGGUGAGUCGACCCCUAAGGCGAGGCCGAAAGGCGUAGUCGAUGGGAAACAGGUUAAUAUUCCUGUACUUGGUGUUACUGCGAAGGGGGGACGGAGAAGGCUAUGUUGGCCGGGCGACGGUUGUCCCGGUUUAAGCGUGUAGGCUGGUUUUCCAGGCAAAUCCGGAAAAUCAAGGCUGAGGCGUGAUGACGAGGCACUACGGUGCUGAAGCAACAAAUGCCCUGCUUCCAGGAAAAGCCUCUAAGCAUCAGGUAACAUCAAAUCGUACCCCAAACCGACACAGGUGGUCAGGUAGAGAAUACCAAGGCGCUUGAGAGAACUCGGGUGAAGGAACUAGGCAAAAUGGUGCCGUAACUUCGGGAGAAGGCACGCUGAUAUGUAGGUGAAGCGACUUGCUCGUGGAGCUGAAAUCAGUCGAAGAUACCAGCUGGCUGCAACUGUUUAUUAAAAACACAGCACUGUGCAAACACGAAAGUGGACGUAUACGGUGUGACGCCUGCCCGGUGCCGGAAGGUUAAUUGAUGGGGUUAGCGCAAGCGAAGCUCUUGAUCGAAGCCCCGGUAAACGGCGGCCGUAACUAUAACGGUCCUAAGGUAGCGAAAUUCCUUGUCGGGUAAGUUCCGACCUGCACGAAUGGCGUAAUGAUGGCCAGGCUGUCUCCACCCGAGACUCAGUGAAAUUGAACUCGCUGUGAAGAUGCAGUGUACCCGCGGCAAGACGGAAAGACCCCGUGAACCUUUACUAUAGCUUGACACUGAACAUUGAGCCUUGAUGUGUAGGAUAGGUGGGAGGCUUUGAAGUGUGGACGCCAGUCUGCAUGGAGCCGACCUUGAAAUACCACCCUUUAAUGUUUGAUGUUCUAACGUUGACCCGUAAUCCGGGUUGCGGACAGUGUCUGGUGGGUAGUUUGACUGGGGCGGUCUCCUCCUAAAGAGUAACGGAGGAGCACGAAGGUUGGCUAAUCCUGGUCGGACAUCAGGAGGUUAGUGCAAUGGCAUAAGCCAGCUUGACUGCGAGCGUGACGGCGCGAGCAGGUGCGAAAGCAGGUCAUAGUGAUCCGGUGGUUCUGAAUGGAAGGGCCAUCGCUCAACGGAUAAAAGGUACUCCGGGGAUAACAGGCUGAUACCGCCCAAGAGUUCAUAUCGACGGCGGUGUUUGGCACCUCGAUGUCGGCUCAUCACAUCCUGGGGCUGAAGUAGGUCCCAAGGGUAUGGCUGUUCGCCAUUUAAAGUGGUACGCGAGCUGGGUUUAGAACGUCGUGAGACAGUUCGGUCCCUAUCUGCCGUGGGCGCUGGAGAACUGAGGGGGGCUGCUCCUAGUACGAGAGGACCGGAGUGGACGCAUCACUGGUGUUCGGGUUGUCAUGCCAAUGGCACUGCCCGGUAGCUAAAUGCGGAAGAGAUAAGUGCUGAAAGCAUCUAAGCACGAAACUUGCCCCGAGAUGAGUUCUCCCUGACCCUUUAAGGGUCCUGAAGGAACGUUGAAGACGACGACGUUGAUAGGCCGGGUGUGUAAGCGCAGCGAUGCGUUGAGCUAACCGGUACUAAUGAACCGUGAGGCUUAACCUU